Molecule: ribosomal RNA, 253 nt
Filed under: uncultured bacterium
Lineage: Bacteria
Description: partial 16S ribosomal RNA
Rfam family: Bacterial small subunit ribosomal RNA
Source: RNAcentral
UACGUAGGGUGCGAGCGUUAAUCGGAAUUACUGGGCGUAAAGCGUGCGCAGGCGGUUUUGUAAGGCAGAUGUGAAAUCCCCGGGCUUAACCUGGGAAUGGCAUUUGGGACUGCAAGGCUCGAGUGCGGCAGAGGAGACUGGAAUUCCUGGUGUAGCAGUGAAAUGCGUAGAUAUCUGGAGGAAUACCGGUGGCGAAGGCGGAUCUCUGGGCCUUACCUGACGCUGAGGCGCGAAAGCUAGGGGAGCGAACAGG